Molecule: long non-coding RNA, 663 nt
Organism: Brassica oleracea var. oleracea
Lineage: Eukaryota; Viridiplantae; Streptophyta; Magnoliopsida; Brassicales; Brassicaceae
Exons: 3
Source: RefSeq, a predicted model, not a curated record
CCGACUUAUUGUUUUUUUUUUUCCAGCUUUACAACAAAUCACUGAGUGAGAUUCAGACCAUCACCGAGAACAAAAAUCAGACAUGAUCAGAUCCUGCUGACUCAUCAUCAUCAUCAUAAAAAAAAAAUUAAUCAAUAUAUCAUCACCAUCAUCAUUAAUGUAAUAAGAAUCUUUAUUAAACGUAAAGACAAACUACAUGUUUAAGAUGAAUGUUUUUCAGGAGAAGAGAAGAAAGCGUCGUAAAGAGUUCAGAGUUAAUUAGUAGUGAAGAAAAUAUGGAGAAGAUAAUGCACAGAGAAGUUGAGAAACAAAGGAGACAAGAAAUGACUUCUCUUUACGUGUCUUCUCGGUCUUCGCUCUAUUGAGUUCAUCCAGCUGGGAAAGCGUUCUACGUCAGAUCAGUUGAACGAGGAGGUGAAUUACAUAAAGUAUCUUCAGAGGGGGAGUAUAAAUGCACACGGUCAGAUAACUGGAUUUAAUUGACUUCGCCGAUUCAAGAAUACACUUCCAUGCUUACCCUAAUGAACUAAUUGUUUCCUUAACUUCUCAAACCCAAAACGAUGCAUAUACAUAGACUGUUUCCUUGCACUUGUACUGUAAAUUUGUAUAUUUAUGUGUUUGCUGAUUUUGAAAAGAAAUUGUGUGCUUCCCUAUUUCUAAAGA